GGAGGGGUGGCAGAGCGGCUGAAUGCACCGGUCUUGAAAACCGGCGAUGGGCAACCAUCCGUGGGUUCAAAUCCCACCUCCUCCGCCA
RNAcentral lists this transfer RNA (88 nucleotides) under Aeromonas salmonicida. Its description in RNAcentral is "tRNA-Ser". It matches the Rfam family "tRNA". From Rfam's summary of the family: Transfer RNA (tRNA) molecules are approximately 80 nucleotides in length. Their secondary structure includes four short double-helical elements and three loops (D, anti-codon, and T loops). RNAcentral also lists the same sequence under 2 other names. Lineage: Bacteria; Pseudomonadati; Pseudomonadota; Gammaproteobacteria; Aeromonadales; Aeromonadaceae. The record is from RNAcentral.